This 484-nucleotide ribosomal RNA is filed under the name uncultured bacterium. RNAcentral's name for it is "partial 16S ribosomal RNA". It matches the Rfam family "Bacterial small subunit ribosomal RNA", at positions 30 to 507 of the family's 1533-position model. The record is from RNAcentral.
AUUGAACGCUGGCGGCAGGCCUAACACAUGCAAGUCGAGCGGAUGAAGGGAGCUUGCUCCUGGAUUCAGCGGCGGACGGGUGAGUAAUGCCUAGGAAUCUGCCUGGCAGUGGGGGAUAACGUCCGGAAACGGGCGCUAAUACCGCAUACGUCCUGAGGGAGAAAGUGGGGGAUCUUCGGACCUCACGCUAUCAGAUGAGCCUAGGUCGGAUUAGCUAGUUGGUGGGGUAAAGGCCUACCAAGGCGACGAUCCGUAACUGGUCUGAGAGGAUGAUCAGUCACACUGGAACUGAGACGCGGUCCAGACUACUACGGGACGCAGCAGUGGGGAAUGUUAGACAGUGGGCGAAAGCAUGAUCCAACCAUGCCGCGUGUGUGAAAGAAGUCUUCGGAUUGUAAAGCACUUUAAGUUGGGAGAGAGGGCAGUAAGUUGAUACCUUGCUGUUUUGACGUUACCAACAGAAUAAGCACCGGCUAACUUCGUG